AUUGAACGCUGGCGGCAGGCCUAACACAUGCAAGUCGAACGGUAACAGGAAGAAGCUUGCUUCUUUGCUGACGAGUGGCGGACGGGUGAGUCAUGUCUGGGAAACUGCCUGAUGGAGGGGGAUAACUACUGGAAACGGUAGCUAAUACCGCAUAACGUCGCAAGACCAAAGAGGGGGACCUUCGGGCCUCUUGCCAUCGGAUGCGCCCAGAUGGGAUUAGCUAGUAGGUGGGGUAACGGCUCACCUAGGCGACGAUCCCUAGCUGGUCUGAGAGGAUGACCAGCCACACUGGAACUGAGACACGGUCCAGACUCCUACGGGAGGCAGCAGUGGGGAAUAUUGCACAAUGGGCGCAAGCCUGAUGCAGCCAUGCCGCGUGUAUGAAGAAGGCCUUCGGGUUGUAAAGUACUUUCAGCGGGGAGGAAGGGAGUAAAGUUAAUACCUUUGCUCAUUGACGUUACCCGCAGAAGAAGCACCGGCUAACUCCGUG
This 490-nucleotide ribosomal RNA is filed under the name uncultured bacterium. Its description in RNAcentral is "partial 16S ribosomal RNA". It matches the Rfam family "Bacterial small subunit ribosomal RNA", at positions 30 to 507 of the family's 1533-position model. The record is from RNAcentral.